CCUACGGGUGGCAGCAGUGAGGAAUAUUGGUCAAUGGGCGGGAGCCUGAACCAGCCAAGUAGCGUGAAGGAUGACUGCCCUACGGGUUGUAAACUUCUUUUAUAAAGGAAUAAAGUGAGGCACGUGUGCCUGUUUGCAUGUACUUUAUGAAUAAGGAUCGGCUAACUCCGUGCCAGCAGCCGCGGUAAUACGGAGGAUCCGAGGGUUAUCCGGAUUUAUUGGGUUUAAAGGGAGCGUAGAUGGGUUGUUAAAUCAGUUGGGAAAGGUUGCGGCUCAACCGUAAAAUUGCAAUUGAUACUGGCAGCCUUGAGUAGAGUUGAGGUAGGCGGAAUUCGUGGUGUAGCGGUGAAAUGCUUAGAUAUAACGAAGAACUCCGAUUGCGAAGGCAGCCUACUAAACUGGAACUGACACUGAGGCUCGAAAGUGUGGGUAUCAAACAGGAUUAGAUACCCCUGUAGUC
RNAcentral lists this ribosomal RNA (460 nucleotides) under uncultured bacterium. RNAcentral's name for it is "partial 16S ribosomal RNA". It matches the Rfam family "Bacterial small subunit ribosomal RNA", at positions 338 to 795 of the family's 1533-position model. The record is from RNAcentral.